GGAGGAAAAGAAACCAACUGGGAUUACCUUAGUAACGGCGAGUGAAGCGGUAAAAGCUCAAAUUUGAAAUCUGGUACUUUCAGUGCCCGAGUUGUAAUUUGUAGAAUUUGUCUUUGAUUAGGUCCUUGUCUAUGUUCCUUGGAACAGGACGUCAUAGAGGGUGAGAAUCCCGUUUGGCGAGGAUACCUUUUCUCUGUAAGACUUUUUCGAAGAGUCGAGUUGUUUGGGAAUGCAGCUCAAAGUGGGUGGUAAAUUCCAUCUAAAGCUAAAUAUUGGCGAGAGACCGAUAGCGAACAAGUACAGUGAUGGAAAGAUGAAAAGAACUUUGAAAAGAGAGUGAAAAAGUACGUGAAAUUGUUGAAAGGGAAGGGCAUUUGAUCAGACAUGGUGUUUUUUGCAUGCACUUGCCUCUCGUGGGCUUGGGCCUCUCAAAAAUUUCACUGGGCCAACAUCAAUUCUGGCAGUAGGAUAAAUCAUUAAGAAUGUAGCUACCUCGGUAGUGUUAUAGCUUAUUGGAAUACUGCUAGCUGGGAUUGAGGACUGCGCUUCGGCAAGGAUGUUGGCAUAAUGGUUAAAUGCCGCCCGUC
This 587-nucleotide ribosomal RNA is filed under the name Hanseniaspora opuntiae. RNAcentral's name for it is "partial 26S ribosomal RNA". It matches the Rfam family "Eukaryotic large subunit ribosomal RNA", at positions 52 to 653 of the family's 3401-position model. Lineage: Eukaryota; Fungi; Ascomycota; Saccharomycetes; Saccharomycodales; Saccharomycodaceae. The record is from RNAcentral.